RNAcentral lists this ribosomal RNA (404 nucleotides) under uncultured bacterium. RNAcentral's name for it is "partial 16S ribosomal RNA". It matches the Rfam family "Bacterial small subunit ribosomal RNA", at positions 30 to 526 of the family's 1533-position model. The record is from RNAcentral.
AUUGAACGCUGGCGGCAGGCCUAACACAUGCAAGUCGAGCGAGCGGCAGACGGGUGAGUAAUGCCUGGGAAUUGCCCAGUCGAGGGGGAUAACAGUUGGAAACGACUGCUAAUACCGCAUACGAUUGGAUUGCCCAGGUGGGAUUGGCUAGUUGGUGAGGUAAUGGCUCACCAAGGCGACGAUCCCUAGCUGGCCUGAGAGGAUGAUCAGCAACACUGGAACUGGUAAACUGGCCAGACUCCUAAGGGUGGCAGCAGUGGGUAAUAUUGCACAAUGGGGUAAACCCUGAUGCAGCCAUGCCGCGUGUGUGAAGAAGGCCUUCGGGUGGUAAAGCACUUUCAGCGAGGAGGCGUUACUCGCAGAAGAAGCACCGGCUAACUACGUGCCAGCAGCCGCGGUAAUUC